UAUUCCUCGAACAUUUUACCCUUCUACUCCGACUCUUCCAAUUCACUAUGUAACUACCCCUUUCGUGUUUCAAAAAAAAAAAAAACUACCCCUUUCAUAUUCUUUCUUUCUCUCCCGAGUCAUCUCCUUCUGAAACUCGAUCUGAUCACUGAGAAUCUACGACGACGAAGAAGGUGGAGGAGGAAGAGGAAGAAUGAGAAUCUCAGGCUAUGUAAUCGUUGUUCUAUCUGUAACUGUAUUCUAUUGCGUCGAUCGUAGCGUUCACGCGCGUCCCGUCGUCCUCGUCCUCUCCAUCGACGAUCUCAACAGCGGCGGCGACGAUCCCGGAGUCGGAGACUCCUCUAACUUCGACGAAUUCGGCGAAUCCGAACCCAAAUCCGAAGAGGAGCUCGAUCCUGGCUCGUGGCGACAGAACUUUCGAUAGGUUGACGGAGGAAGCGGUGGAGGAGAUAGAGGCGGCUUCUUCAUCCGGAGAUCCGCACUCGCAGUCGCUGAUGGGCUUCGUCUACGGGACGGGGAUGAUGAGGGAGAAAAGCAAAAGCAAAUUCUUCCUUCACCAUAACUUUGCUGCUGAAGGUGGGAACAUGCAGUCAAAGAUGACACUUGCCUUCACGUAUCUGCAACAAGAUAUGCAUGAUAAGGCUGUGAAACUAUAUGCUGAACUAGCAGAAACCGAUGUGAAUAGCUUCCUGAUCUCAAAGGACUCUCCCGUGGUGGAACCAACUAGGAUCCACAGCGGGACUGAAGAAAACAAAGGCGCUCUAAGGAAAUCACGAGGGGAGGAGGAUGAGGAUUUUCAGAUAUUGGAGUAUCAAGCGCAGAAAGGCAAUGCUGCGGCUAUGUACAAGAUUGGACUGUUCUACUACUUUGGUCUGCGAGGGUUAAGGCAUGAUCACACCAAGGCGUUGCACUAGUUUUCGAAGGCGGUGGAGAAAGGAGAGCCGAGGCAUAAAGUUAAAUACAAUAAACAUUGUUACAGUCGGUCGCCUCCUCUGCCUCUGGGAUUCGCAUAACAUCAAGAAGAAUGAUGAAUAUAUGGGAAUCAGCCUCCUCUUACUAUAUGAACAGAUGUAGUUGGCCAAAUCCUUUCCGUUCAAGGCUCUGAUCUGAACAACUCUGCAGCAACAACUCGACUUGCCGUCCGUUUCCUCACUGACCCGUAAGCAAUGAAUUCAUCUUUAAAUAGUUUUGAUCCUUAUCUCAUUUAGCUCUUUCUUUCAAAUAAUUCUGUUAUGGUGUAAUGGAAUGGAAUUCACCACGGUGAAUCCAACAAUAUUUGGAGGUAAUCUCUAUGACUCUAUCUAAACUCAACACCAGCAACAAAAUUUUACUUUGACAACACCAUUCAUGCUACCAAAGAGUUUACAAACAGCUUUGUGGUGCUGCAGCGGAGGUCUUUCCCGAGUUGAUACCAUGGAAGGAAGAAAAAAAAAGAGUUCGUAUCAAUUGGAGAACUUCACACGUUCAUUGCCAACUCCAGUGAACAGGUAAAACUCACGCUUUCAACAAUCUUUAGUACUCCUAUGUGGCUUCAAAAUAGUAACAAGUAAUGUUAGGACUUUUCUCCCCAUGAAGACAGAAUAAGCUGAUUUUCUCUGUACGAGUCGUCCAGGAAAAUGGCUUGUCGUUUGUAUCUUGCACAGGUUGCAACAGGAAGCUCGCAAAAUCUCUCUGGUGCAACAGAUGUGUUUCUCCUAAUGCACCGGGGUCAUCGGGUAUGUACUGUUCUUCCCGAUCCAUAUUUAAAGGAACACCCUAAUUUCAAUAUAUGUGCACGUUUGACGUACUUUCUCUGCUGUUCUGUGUGAACUAGCUGUUGAUGACGGAAAGGAAAGUGCAACUUUUGUUGUCUUUGACAGGGAGAUGAUCAAACUCAUCAAGAAAGAGGCAAAGUCUGGCUCCUGCGUAGAUACGUUUUAACUUUUCAGAUUGGUUUUAAAUUUUUUUCCCUUACUCUAAAUGCCCCCACAAACGCCAAGCCUACUACAGAUUAGUGGCAGUGGGAGGAAUGGAGCUACCAAAAUGCCUUGAGGAGCUAGCUGGUAAUGGAUACCUUUUCAGCUACGUGUAACUCCAUAUAAUUUCACCUCCAACCACCACACAUUCACCGUCUCUGCCAUUAGUGACAACCUCUUCUUUGGCCCUCAGAGUGGCAACAACAACAAAGCUCUUUUUUCUGAUUUAAUGUCCCACUGUUUUGUAAAGUGGGAACAGCAACAAAGCUCCAGUCGUGGAUCUCAAAUCUGGACAACCAACAGCAUUUGCCAGCUCCGCUGGUGAUGCGGCGAAGAUAGCACUAGGAAAUGAUGGAGCAAAUCAGCCAGGUUCUGCAGACUGCAGGUAACGACAAAACCCGCAAACGCCCACGUGACUGAUAGUAUCAAGGCUAUCAAACCGUCAACUUCACUUAGCUUUUGUCUCAUUUUAAUUUAUUAUAUCCAUAUAUUUUCCCUACUUUGAACUUUGGUUUUUGGAUUUUCUGAAAAUUUCUCUUAAUUAAAUAAUUAAAGUAACGUUGACGUGUC
Molecule: long non-coding RNA, 2525 nt
Organism: Brassica oleracea var. oleracea
Lineage: Eukaryota; Viridiplantae; Streptophyta; Magnoliopsida; Brassicales; Brassicaceae
Exons: 7
Source: RefSeq, a predicted model, not a curated record